Molecule: non-coding RNA, 1148 nt
Organism: Macaca mulatta (Rhesus monkey)
Lineage: Eukaryota; Metazoa; Chordata; Mammalia; Primates; Cercopithecidae
Source: RefSeq, a predicted model, not a curated record
CUUGAAGUCAGCAAGACCAAUAACCCACCAAUUCUGUACACAUUUUGGUGACCACGAAUGGACUAUCACCUAUUGCCAAGCGGUGAGACUAUCGCCUAUCGCCAAACGAAUCGAGGCCAUCAAGCUACAGAUGGUCUUAUAAAUGGAAGCCCAAAUGAGUUCAACUAACAACUUCUACCGAGGACCCCUGGACCGACCCACUGGUACUUUCACUGGCCUGGAGAGCUCCCAACUGGAGGACACUACAACUGCAGGGACCUUUCAUCGCCCCUGUCCAGCAGGAAAUAGCUAGGGCGGUCAUCUGCCAAAUUCCCAACAGUAGUUGGGGUGUCCCGUUUAGAGGGGGGAUUGAGAGGUGACAACAUGCUAGCAGCCCUCGCUCACUCUCAGUGCCUCCUCGGCCUCGGUGUCUGUUCUGGCCACACUUGAGGCGUCCUUCAGCCCACCACUAUGCUGCGGGGGCCCCUCUCUGGGGCUGGCUGAGGCCGGAGCUGGCUCCCUCUGCUGGCAGGGAGGUGUGGAGGGAGAGGCGCGGGUGGGAGCUGGGGCUGCACGUGCACUCACGGGCCAGCGUGGGUUCUGGGUGGGCACGGGCUCAGUGGCCCUGCACCCUUUGUGGCCAGCUGGUGCCUGCUGGGCUUGAUCAGGGGACAAGCUCCCUCUGGGCUACCAGAGUGCCCAGCCUAGGUGAUGCAAAGUCCCAUGGCAAGUGCCAUUGAGAGGUAAAGCUGGCUGGGCUUCUGGGUCGGGUGAGGACUUGGAGAACUUUUGCGUCUAGCUAAAGGAUUGUAAACGCACCAAUCAGCACUCUGUGUCUAGCUAAAGGAUUGUAAAUUCACCAAUCAGCACUCUGUGUCUAGCUAAAGGUUUGUAAAUGCACCAAUCAGCUCUCUGUGUCUAGCUAAUCUGAUAGGGACUUGGAGAACUUUUGCAUCUAACUAAAGGAUUGUAAAUGCACCAAUCAGCACCCUAUCAAAGCGGACCAAUCAGCUCUCUGUAAAAUGGACCAAUCAGCAGGACGUGGGCGGGGCUAGAUAAGGGAAUAAAAGCAGGCUGCCUGACCUAGCAGUGGCAAGCUGCUUGGGUCCGUUUCCAGGUCGUGGAAGUUGUGUUCUUUUUCUCUUUGCAAUAAAUCUUGAUGCUGCUUA